This 305-nucleotide unclassified non-coding RNA is filed under the name plant metagenome. Its description in RNAcentral is "partial contains 5.8S ribosomal RNA, internal transcribed spacer 2, and large subunit ribosomal RNA". The stretch from base 1 to 105 matches the Rfam family "5.8S ribosomal RNA", at positions 50 to 154 of the family's 154-position model. The record is from RNAcentral.
GAAAUGCGAUAAGUAAUGUGAAUUGCAGAAUUCAGUGAAUCAUCGAAUCUUUGAACGCACAUUGCGCCCGCCAGUAUUCUGGCGGGCAUGCCUGUUCGAGCGUCAUUUCAACCAUCAAGCCCCGGGCUUGUGUUGGGGACCUGCGGCUGCCGCUGGCCCUGAAAACCAGUGGCGGGCUCGCUGUCACACCGAGCGUAGUAGAUUCUCAUCUCGCUCAGGGCGUGCUGCGGGUUCCGGCCGUAAAACAGCCUUAUUUUACCCAAGGUUGACCUCGGAUCAGGUAGGAAGACCCGCUGAACUUAAGC